AUUGAACGCUGGCGGCAUGCCUUACACAUGCAAGUCGAACUGUAACAGGUCUUCGGAUGCUGACGAGUGGCGAACGGGUGAGUAAUACAUCGGAACGUGCCCGAUCGUGGGGGAUAACGGAGCGAAAGCUUUGCUAAUACCGCAUACGAUCUACGGAUGAAAGCAGGGGACCGCAAGGCCUUGCGCGGACGGAGCGGCCGAUGGCAGAUUAGGUAGUUGGUGGGAUAAAAGCUUACCAAGCCGACGAUCUGUAGCUGGUCUGAGAGGACGACCAGCCACACUGGGACUGAGACACGGCCCAGACUCCUACGGGAGGCAGCAGUGGGGAAUUUUGGACAAUGGGCGAAAGCCUGAUCCAGCCAUGCCGCGUGCAGGAUGAAGGCCUUCGGGUUGUAAACUGCUUUUGUACGGAACGAAAAGACUCUUUCUAAUAAAGAGGGUCCAUGACGGUACCGUAAGAAUAAGCACCGGCUAACUACGUG
RNAcentral lists this ribosomal RNA (482 nucleotides) under uncultured bacterium. RNAcentral's name for it is "partial 16S ribosomal RNA". It matches the Rfam family "Bacterial small subunit ribosomal RNA", at positions 30 to 507 of the family's 1533-position model. The record is from RNAcentral.